Molecule: transfer RNA, 93 nt
Filed under: Polaromonas sp.
Lineage: Bacteria; Pseudomonadati; Pseudomonadota; Betaproteobacteria; Burkholderiales; Comamonadaceae
Also listed under: 6 other names
Description: tRNA-Ser
Rfam family: tRNA
About the family: Transfer RNA (tRNA) molecules are approximately 80 nucleotides in length.
Source: RNAcentral
GGAAUCGUGACCGAGUGGCCGAAGGUGCUCCCCUGCUAAGGGAGUAUAGGGUGUAGAGCCUUAUCGAGAGUUCGAAUCUCUCCGAUUCCGCCA